Molecule: long non-coding RNA, 952 nt
Organism: Musa acuminata AAA Group (dessert banana)
Lineage: Eukaryota; Viridiplantae; Streptophyta; Magnoliopsida; Zingiberales; Musaceae
Exons: 5
Source: RefSeq, a predicted model, not a curated record
UCUAGUUCAACCGGGGUUCUGGCCGCCGAAGGAGAUCGAUGCCGAGAGAAGGACAUCCUCCACGUCAAUAAAUAAUGCCUGUGCUGAGCGGCUCCAUGCACCGCGAUUGAGUCAUCCUUCUCCUCUUCAGUGUUGUUGCUCCUCGAAAUCAUGUUGGUAUACCAGGAUUUGCUCACAGUGGGUGGUUAAAGGAGCUAUAGAUGCAGACAUUGGUGCUAACCCUUCGGAUGAAGGUGGGGAAGAAGAUGAAAGUGUCGAUGAUUCUGUAGUGAAGGUCAUCGAUAUUGUUGACACAUUCAGGCUUCAGGGACAAACUUCUUUCAACAAGAAGCAGUUUGUGACAUAUAUGAAGCACUAUAUCAAGCUAUUGAUGCCUAAAUUGGAAGCAGAGUAGCAAGAGUUAUUUAAGAAGCACAUCGAACAAGCUACCAAAAUUUUGCUUUCCAUGCUCAGUGACCUACAAUUUUGUUUUUUCAUCAAUCUAUUCUCUGGUUGGGAGGGCGGUUUUUGCUGCAUAUUGGCAUCAAUGCCUCUCAGAUGAACAUUAUUUCCAACAGUGAAGCUUGUCAUUUCAAUACAACCUUCUAGGUUUUUCCUACCUUGGGAGGAAUUUGGAUUUCUUCUUGAUUGCAUAAUCAUAAACUCAACAAGGAAAUCACUUUUGUAGGUGAAAGUCUGCACGACAACGGCAGCAUGGUCUUUGCUUACUACAAGGAGGGUGCAACCGAUCCAACAUUUCUGUACCUUGCCGUCGGUCUAAAGGAGGUCAAGUGCUAAGGAUAUGAUGAAGCCAGAGCUAAGAACAAACUAUAGUCUAGUUUUAUAUCUGAGCUUUUAGAGGCCUUAAUGUUUGUGCGUGGUUAAAUGUCAAGAUGCUGUCACUAUAUGAUGUAAAUGAAUACCUGGAAUUCAAUUAUUUUAAUGAGGAUUUGAGUGGGUGAGGAUUAAAUGA